Arachis ipaensis is the source of this 1205-nucleotide long non-coding RNA. RefSeq lists it as uncharacterized. NCBI's taxonomy places the organism in Eukaryota, Viridiplantae, Streptophyta, Magnoliopsida, Fabales, Fabaceae. The record is from RefSeq and is a predicted model, not a curated record.
AUGACAAAGCAGAAGGCAAUGUUCUUCCAUCCCAAUAUUACAAUAUAUACUCACACUCAGAUAGGCACGAUGAUAUGGCCUAUCCUAUUAGAUUUAGUAUAAACAAUGUGCAAAGGCAAUCAUUGCUUUUACUUAUAAACAAAAUGGAUUGCUUAUUGGUUGCAAGUUUAGAACAAUGGAGAAAAUAUUUGGCAGAAGGGGUUGUCGUCAGAGUACGGGGGUUCUGUCUUCCGUGUCUUCGCCGGUAUGGUGUAGAGGGGAACUAGAUUCAAGGUCCGAUUUUGGCCGAAAGCGGUUCGGACUCGAAUACUGGGCCGGUGUGUGCUACUGAGGCCCAAGGUGGCAGUGCUUUUUGUUCAUAUAACUUUGCUACAGAUCCUGUUUGGACAUAAGAAGUGGGCUGAGAUGAAAGUAAUUAACAUUUCAAAUGUUCCUGGAGCUUAGCAACAGACAAAAAGAUGAUCAACUCCACUUAUCCAUGAAACCCUAUUAGUUAACUCCUCAAAUUGACUAUGAUAUUCCUCCGUCGUACCAUUCUUCCCAAAUUAGAGACUCCCACGUGUAUUGGAUGUUGUUGUUCACCCCCCAGCGAUACCAUGCAUAAGCAGCUCCCACCAAAUGGAAGGACAUCACCCUAAUCCUUUGUUCAAUAUUGCCGAGCUCGAAACACCCAGUCAUCCAGACCAUCGCCUUCAAACAUUGGCAGCUCGGCCAUCUUCACUUUCCCCGGACCCGUGACUAAAAGCCACCCCACAUCGAGUCGUCCCCUGGCCCGACGGAAUCCUCAACUUUCUCCUUCAACUUCACAUUUUUUCGUAACAACUUCCCAAUUGACGGUAACGACAACUUCAAAGACUUAAGUUGAUGCUGAGUCUCAUCUGCCCUCUCGUUGGCCUCGGCGAGUUCCGUCCGUCAUCUCCGGACACUCAAUGAAAGCACCAAUUGAUAGAUCACUGCAAUAUAACAAUAACAGCACAUUCCACACUAGAGUGAACAACACAAUCAAGUAUGCGAGAAUCAAUAAAAGAAUAGCGAGUAAAAGAAUGUAUAUCACCCAAGAAAGGAACAAAGCAACGCCAAUUCUCCCUAUUCGAGUUGGGAAGAAACUCCACUCAAUUACCAAAUCAAUUACACACCUCACUCCACAACAUUCCACUCCCCUCUAUUCAUACCCCUAAGAGGAAUGCUAGAAGGCCAGCAACUUU